This 506-nucleotide ribosomal RNA is filed under the name uncultured delta proteobacterium. RNAcentral describes it as "bacterial SSU rRNA". It matches the Rfam family "Bacterial small subunit ribosomal RNA", at positions 400 to 896 of the family's 1533-position model. The record is from RNAcentral. Lineage: Bacteria; Deltaproteobacteria.
CGUGGGUGACGAAGGCUUUCGGGUCGUAAAACCCUGUCGGAGGGGACGAAUUGCCAUCUGACUAAUACGCAGAUGGAGUGACGGUACCCUUAGAGGAAGCACCGGCUAACUACGUGCCAGCAGCCGCGGUAAUACGUAGGGUGCAAGCGUUGUUCGGAAUUAUUGGGCGUAAAGCGCGUGUAGGUUGCUAGGUAAGUCGAUUGUAAAAGCCCUAGGCUCAACCAAGGAAGUGCAUUCGAAACUACCUAGCUAGAGGAUGGCAGAGGAAGGUGGAAUUCCAAGUGUAGAGGUGAAAUUCGUAGAUAUUUGGAGGAAUACCGGCGGCGAAGGCGGCCUUCUGGACCAUUCCUGACACUGAGACGCGAAAGCGUGGGGAGCAAACAGGAUUAGAUACCCUGGUAGUCCGCGCUGUAAACGAUGGGUACUAGAUGUUGCGGGAAUUGACCCCUGCAGUGUCGACGCUAACGCAUUAAGUACCCCGCCUGGGGAGUACGGCCGCAAGGUUA